GACGGAGGAUGCAAGUGUUAUCCGGAAUCACUGGGCGUAAAGCGUCUGUAGGUGGUCAAAUAAGUCAACUGUUAAAUCUUGAGGCUCAACCUCAAAAUCGCAGUCGAAACUAUUAGACUAGAGUAUAGUAGGGGUAAAGGGAAUUUCCAGUGGAGCGGUGAAAUGCGUAGAGAUUGGAAAGAACACCGAUGGCGAAGGCACUUUACUGGGCUAUUACUAACACUCAGAGACGAAGGCUAGGGUAGCAAAUGGG
This 253-nucleotide ribosomal RNA is filed under the name uncultured bacterium. Its description in RNAcentral is "partial 16S ribosomal RNA". It matches the Rfam family "Bacterial small subunit ribosomal RNA", at positions 524 to 776 of the family's 1533-position model. The record is from RNAcentral.